UACGUAGGGUGCAAGCGUUAAUCGGAAUUACUGGGCGUAAAGCGUGCGCAGGCGGUCUUGCAAGACAGAUGUGAAAUCCCCGGGCUUAACCUGGGAACUGCAUUUGUGACUGUAAGGCUGGAGUGCGGCAGAGGGGGAUGGAAUUCCGCGUGUAGCAGUGAAAUGCGUAGAUAUGCGGAGGAACACCGAUGGCGAAGGCAAUCCCCUGGGCCUGCACUGACGCUCAUGCACGAAAGCGUGGGGAGCAAACAGG
This 253-nucleotide ribosomal RNA is filed under the name uncultured bacterium. RNAcentral's name for it is "partial 16S ribosomal RNA". It matches the Rfam family "Bacterial small subunit ribosomal RNA", at positions 524 to 776 of the family's 1533-position model. The record is from RNAcentral.